UUUUUUUUAUUGUAUGCUUGAUGUAUUUAGAGACAAUUCCAAGGGCAAGCACUGGUUGGGGAAGUCAGUUAUCUGGUUUGUAGAUAUGUGUACAAAAGGCUAUUAAGACUACACGGUCAGUUCCCACUGCAGGAAGCAGAAAGGUUUUCCUUUGUAUUAUUCCCUGCCCCUAGCAUUUUCCAGCUCACACAUCUGACUUCUCACAACAUGACUGCAAACAUGUACGUAUUCAUCCCCACGAGAAAUCGGCAUGUGACGUCUCGGGAUGUUUUGGAUUCAAUCAGAUAAAGCACAUUUGACACAAACCAUAGGAGGGGAAGUUGGGACCUAGGACCCUAUGGAAUGAAAUGUCAGGGCUACAGGGAAGCACGGGCACUGCUGGGUCAGCUGGUGCACGUGACCUGCCGCCCCUCCCCCUCCACAGGAGAAAGGCCAGCUCAGGGGGUUCCCCUCCCUCCUUCCUCCCCAAAGCUGAGAGCUCAGCUGAAGACCUUCCCCAGAAAUGACUUGACCGCUCCUCAGUCGAGAAUGCAGUUAGUGCAUUCAUAACAGACACACUGGUCCCACCUGGCUUUCCUGCUGGGCUGGGCAGAGCUGUGUAACACCUGGACCCAUGUGGGAUGACAUCAGGAAGCAAAGUAGUUUGCCUGGUUGAUAAUUAUUUUUUAUACCUAAUAAUCCACCCAACAGUGAAGGAACUUCACUGCUAGUAUCUAAUAGGCAUACACCUUCUCUAUUAGACAGCUUAUAAGAAAGACUCUUUCUAACAAUAACACUGUCUUAUGUUAUUGGGUACUAAAGAAUUACCAUAAUUUCAAGUAUAUCCUUAUUCUACCUAAAAUUCCAAACCACCUCCAAGGAUGAAAGAGUACUACUUCUGCUUUGCUAAUUUACUUUUAUUGGAGCUUUUGCCCCUCCUCAGAGUAUGAGUGGUAAAUCCCAGCAACUAGCCAAGACUAACUAGCUUAUGUUUGAUUAUGGGGCGCGGGGAUAGGGGAGAGAUUCUGUCCUUCACGGCCAUGUCUUCUUUCUGUGCGAGGCAUACACAGCCCCCGCCCCCUCCCCCAGGUCUUAAUGGAUACACAAAUGGUAUUUUAGGAAGCUAUUUACACGCCAACCUUUAAACAUUAUUUUCAUAGUUCAUCUUGAAUAUUCAUUUUCCCCACACUGCCUUUAGAAAAGCAAUCCAUGGUCAAGAAAUUGUCCACGUAACGAUAAGCAUUCUUCAAAAGCAGAGUCUGUUAGGAGCAUUUAAAAACCAACAUCCCCCCAGCAAUGCCGUACUCAAAAUCCAACUACACGUUUCAAGCUGCUAAUAUGUCACUAGAACCCGAUGGAAGCAUCCCUGCCCCUUUUAACUUCUGCCACGAAAGGACUGCCACGCCCUCUAGUGGGGAGUUGGUAGAAAAAGGACUUGUUCCGGUAAAACCUGUGACCCUCAGUGUCCACGUCUGUGUACGGGGCCCAAGUUCCUUCCAGCUCUCAUGGCAUACGAUACACUGCAGCUGACAAGGAGUCACUAACUUGAAGUCACUUCCAAGACUACUGACGCUCACAGUAUUUCCAUUUGGAAAUGCCUGUCAGUGAUGAAGGUGAUUAGGCCCACACGGUACAGCUGAGAAAUUUGCAGCUUCGUGGGGUGGAACUUCUGCCACAGGGCCAUUUAAUUAAUCCUAAACUAGACGGCGGUAACCAGGCCCGGAAUCAUUUCUAGACAUACGCAUGUCCGUGCGGCGGGUGAGCGGCCGUGCGGGGAGAGCCCCGUGCCUCGUGGGAGAGCCACGCCGCGAUCCAGGGACGUCACGCACAGCUGCCUGUGAAUCUCUACAGUGGGCAGCUUCCAGCUCGCACGGCACGUGGAAGCUGUCUGCGGGUCCACCGCACACGAGCGCAGUGCACAGCAGACACAGCUGGAGACAUUCUGCAUUACAGGCCUGCGCUCAGCAGAAGGGAGGCCAGGCCGGGAAGCCUCCCUCGAGCACACACACACAAGAGCCCUGGGCCAAAGAAAUGCCUUCUGUUAACCAGAAAGAAACCACUACUGAGAGAAAGAAGAGUCCACCAUGCUGGAUGUAAGAAAAUAAGCUCACCCAGUCCACGCAAAUUGCACGCACCAAUUUACCUAUAAGAUGUCACUUUCUUCAGGACAAAUUGGACCCUUGCAAGUUGUCAAAUAAAUGCUUGGGAAGCAGAUGAGCAUCUAACAACCAUAUGCAGAAACUCCCUGAGCGAUGAAGCUGGGCUUAUCCUGUGCCCUGGAGUCCCCGGCAGAUCCGCUGGCGCAGAAAAUAGCAGCACAAAGGCUCCUGCUUGGAUGAAUCUGCUAAACUUUGAACCAAUCUGAGAAGGGCCUGGAAGAACCAGUUUCUCUCAACUGCAGGUGUCCCUCUGAAUGGUUCAUCCAUGCGUCAUCCCAGCUUGACUAUGCGGGGGCCUCUCAGUGGUGAAAAUAACAAGCCCUAAUUCACGAUGUCUGCCGAUUUCCACAGUGUAAACACGCCCACUGGGGCCCAUUUCAAGCUACCGAUGUGAUGUCACUGAACACAGGGUCGGGAAGAGAUGACAUCAUCAGCUUCCAUAGGCUCUGGCACACCACGAGACUCGGAAUUUUACACUGCCUCAAAAUGCGAAGCUACCUCUCUGCUCUUUCCCUCUCCAAUUCUUCAUAUCGAUGAGCUUUAACAAGUACUGCUUCCACGUAGGAAAUGGCCUCCAAAGGUCAGAACCGGUGCACUAAAUCCAAUGAGUGUCACUAUAUGGAUGACCAAGGCACCAGCUGACUCAAUAGAAUAUUAAUAUGAUGGAAUUUGCCUGCUCAAUAAGAUUAAUUAAAGGUCUUUUGCAUCUCCCACCCACUCUCAAACUCUGACUUCUGCAUCUGCUUCCAACUCUCAAAAUUACAUAGUACCUGGUACGUAUUAGGAGGAAGGGAGGAGAGAAGGGAGGGAAAGAGGAAGAAAAAAAGGGAAUGUGAGAACAAGCUAUAUCAAGAAAAGGAUCUAUAAUUAAUGCAAUGAGCAAAGAGCCAAGAAGUUCUGAAGCAGACAGACCAAUAGUAAGAUGAUGUCCUUUGGUUUCUAACAUAAAUUAGGAAGAUAAAUAAUAUAGUCUUCUUUGAUCAUAAUCUUUUGCAAGUCCACUGCUCUGAAACUAUUUCUUGCAAACAUCUCUCUAAUGUUCUUAGCAUUAGCAGAAGCCGGUUAAAAUUUCCCUAAUUUUAUUACCUAAAAACCCAAGAGUAGGUAAUUACGCUUCCUGAUGACAAAAUACAAAAUGUUGAGCAUGCCCAAUUACAGAGAAACAUUGAAAUGUUGAAUAGGAGAAAAAAAAUCUAUGACAGUUCUAUAGCCACAGUAGGAAAUGUACCUCAUUUAACCAGGGAAGAUAAAAAUGAAUGUCUUCCGGGAAGCCCUUAAUAGGCUUUAAGGUCUUUUCAAGUAAUUUAACCAUGAAUAACUUUCUUUUAAAAUUACUUGAAAUUUUCCAUUUUAGAUAUUAGAAAGCUAUUUUCCAGCUCAUUUUUAGAAUUAUAUUAGGCCGUGCACUUUACCCUAGGAAACAGAAUUGCUUUAUCUUCACAUCCCGGCAAUCACAAAGCCCUGUCUUCUAAGCACAGUUAGAGCAGCUGUCUGAGACAUCAGGAACCAAGGGGGUUGCUGUGGUCAUUCUUCAGUUCAACCUGCUCCUUCAAAGGCUCCUGUUCCCUGAAGAACAAUGUCUAAAUUCCUCGGCAGAGUGUUCCAGACAGACUCUAAAUGCCUACACGUACCCCUGCGGGCCAGCACAAAGUGCUCACAAAAGCUACCAGCAAGCAAGGCCAGAGUCCACAAGGGGAAGUCAGACACCAGGGGGAGGAACGACAAGCCCCAGAUCUGACGGAUCAAAAAGGGGGUGGGAGUGGGGCCAUGGAACCAAGCGUUCAGAACUGGAAGAUAAAAUCAAGAGAAAGCAGCUGGAGUCAAACAGAGGC
Molecule: long non-coding RNA, 3970 nt
Organism: Physeter macrocephalus (sperm whale)
Lineage: Eukaryota; Metazoa; Chordata; Mammalia; Artiodactyla; Physeteridae
Exons: 8
Source: RefSeq, a predicted model, not a curated record